UACGUAGGGUGCAAGCGUUAAUCGGAAUUACUGGGCGUAAAGCGUGCGCAGGCGGUUUUGUAAGUCUGACGUGAAAGCCCCGGGCUUAACCUGGGAAUUGCGUUGGAGACUGCAAGGCUUGAAUCUGGCAGAGGGGGGUAGAACUCCACGUGUAGCAGUGAAAUGCGUAGAGAUGUGGAGGAACACCGAUGGCGAAGGCAGCCCCCUGGGUCAAGAUUGACGCUCAUGCACGAAAGCGUGGGGAGCAAACAGG
RNAcentral lists this ribosomal RNA (253 nucleotides) under uncultured bacterium. RNAcentral describes it as "partial 16S ribosomal RNA". It matches the Rfam family "Bacterial small subunit ribosomal RNA", at positions 524 to 776 of the family's 1533-position model. The record is from RNAcentral.